RNAcentral lists this ribosomal RNA (429 nucleotides) under Bacteroidota bacterium. RNAcentral's name for it is "Bacteroidetes bacterium partial 16S ribosomal RNA". It matches the Rfam family "Bacterial small subunit ribosomal RNA", at positions 355 to 776 of the family's 1533-position model. Lineage: Bacteria; Pseudomonadati; Bacteroidota. The record is from RNAcentral. RNAcentral also lists the same sequence under 1 other name.
UAGGGAAUCUUCGGCAAUGGGGGGAACCCUGACCGAGCAACGCCGCGUGAGUGAAGAAGGUUUUCGGAUCGUAAAGCUCUGUUGUUAAGGAAGAACGAGUGUGAGAAUGGAAAGUUCAUGCUGUGACGGUACUUAACCAGAAAGGGACGGCUAACUACGUGCCAGCAGCCGCGGUAAUACGUAGGUCCCGAGCGUUGUCCGGAUUUAUUGGGCGUAAAGCGAGCGCAGGCGGUUAGAAAAGUCUGAAGUGAAAGGCAGUGGCUCAACCAUUGUAGGCCUUGGAAACUGUUUAACUUGAGUGCAGAAGGGGAGAGUGGAAUUCCAUGUGUAGCGGUGAAAUGCGUAGAUAUAUGGAGGAACACCGGUGGCGAAAGCGGCUCUCUGGUCUGUAACUGACGCUGAGGCUCGAAAGCGUGGGGAGCGAACAGG